GACGAACGCUGGCGGCGUGCUUAACACAUGCAAGUCGAGCGGUAAGGUCUUUCGGGGUACACGAGCGGCGAACGGGUGAGUAACACGUGGGUGACCUGCCUUUAGCUUCGGGAUAAGCCUGGGAAACCGGGUCUAAUACCGGAUAUGACCUCAUGUCGCAUGGUGGUGGGGUGGGAAAGUUCUUCGGCUAGAGAUGGGCCUGCGGCCUAUCAGCUUGUUGGUGGGGUGAUCGGCCUACCAAGGCGACGGACGGGUAGCCGGCCUGAGAGGGCGACCGGCCACACUGGGACUGAGAUACGGCCC
RNAcentral lists this ribosomal RNA (303 nucleotides) under uncultured bacterium. RNAcentral's name for it is "bacterial SSU rRNA". It matches the Rfam family "Bacterial small subunit ribosomal RNA", at positions 28 to 332 of the family's 1533-position model. The record is from RNAcentral.